RNAcentral lists this ribosomal RNA (251 nucleotides) under uncultured prokaryote. RNAcentral's name for it is "partial 16S rRNA". It matches the Rfam family "Bacterial small subunit ribosomal RNA", at positions 525 to 775 of the family's 1533-position model. The record is from RNAcentral.
ACGAACCGUCCGAACGUUAUUCGGUAUCACUGGGCUUAAAGAGUUCGUAGGCGGCCAAGCAGGUCAGGUGUGAAAUCCCACAGCUCAACUGUGGAACUGCGCUUGAAACCGCAUGGCUCGAGGGAGAUAGAGGUAAGCGGAACAGAUGGUGGAGCGGUGAAAUGCGUUGAUAUCAUCUGGAACACCGGUGGCGAAAGCGGCUUACUGGAUCUCUUCUGACGCUGAGGAACGAAAGCUAGGGUAGCGAACGG